RNAcentral lists this ribosomal RNA (301 nucleotides) under uncultured bacterium. RNAcentral's name for it is "partial 16S ribosomal RNA". It matches the Rfam family "Bacterial small subunit ribosomal RNA", at positions 509 to 808 of the family's 1533-position model. The record is from RNAcentral.
CAGUAGCCGCGGUAAUACAGAGGGUGCGAGCGUUAAUCGGAUUUACUGGGCGUAAAGCGUGCGUAGGCGGCUUCUUAAGUCGGAUGUGAAAUCCUGAGCUUAACUUAGGAAUUGCAUUCGAUACUGGGAAGCUAGAGUAUGGGAGAGGAUGGUAGAAUUCCAGGUGUAGCGGUGAAAUGCGUAGAGAUCUGGAGGAAUACCGAUGGCGAAGGCAGCCAUCUGGCCUAAUACUGACGCUGAGGUACGAAAGCAUGGGGAGCAAACAGGAUUAGAUACCCCAGUAGUCCCUGUCUCUUAUACA